UACGUAGGGGCAAGCGUUGUCCGGAAUUAUUGGGCGUAAAGAGCGCGUAGGCGGUCCGAUAAGUCGGCUGUGAAGUCAGGGCUCAACCCUGAAAGCCGGCCGAUACUGUCGGACUAGAGUCCGGAAGAGGCAAGUGGAAUUCCCGGUGUAGCGGUGAAAUGCGCAGGAUAUCGGGAGGACACCAAUGGCGAAGGCAAGCUUGCUGGACGGUACUGACGCUGAGGCGC
This 227-nucleotide ribosomal RNA is filed under the name uncultured bacterium. Its description in RNAcentral is "partial 16S ribosomal RNA". It matches the Rfam family "Bacterial small subunit ribosomal RNA", at positions 524 to 754 of the family's 1533-position model. The record is from RNAcentral.